CGUUAAAUGUAGUCUGACAGGCGUGGAAACAUGCUUUUCUUCGGACAGAUUACAAGGUGCUGCAUGGUUGUCGUCAGCUCGUGCCGUGAGGUGUCAGGUUAAGUCCUAUAACGAGCGCAACCCCUGUUGUUAGUUGCCAGCGAGUAAUGUCGGGAACUCUAGCAAGACUGCCGGUGCAAACCGUGAGGAAGGUGGGGAUGACGUCAAAUCAUCACGGCCCUUACGUCCUGGGCCACACACGUGCUACAAUGGCCAGUACAGAGAGCAGCCACUUGGCGACAAGGAGCGAAUCUAUAAAGCUGGUCGCAGCUCGGAUUGGAGUCUGCAACUCGACUCUAUGAAGCUGGAAUCGCUAGUAAUCGGAUAUCAGCCAUGAUCCGGUGAAUACGUUCCCGGGCCUUGUACACACCGCCCGUCAAGCCAUGGAAGCUGGGGGUACCUGAAGUCGGUGACCGCAAGGAGCUGCCUAGGGUAAAACUAGUAACUGGGGCUAAGUCGUAACAAGGUAGGCGUAGUGCU
RNAcentral lists this ribosomal RNA (519 nucleotides) under uncultured bacterium. RNAcentral's name for it is "bacterial SSU rRNA". It matches the Rfam family "Bacterial small subunit ribosomal RNA", at positions 980 to 1509 of the family's 1533-position model. The record is from RNAcentral.